This is a non-coding RNA of Nerophis lumbriciformis (worm pipefish), 703 nucleotides long. The record is from RefSeq and is a predicted model, not a curated record. Lineage: Eukaryota; Metazoa; Chordata; Actinopteri; Syngnathiformes; Syngnathidae.
GUUUUCCGGCAGCUUACUUCCGGGUUUGUGACAAAGUGGCGAGUCACUUACCCUAUGACGUUUUCGUCGGUGUCUCCAGGAGCCGAGAACUUGCCCGCGGUGCCAUUAACCGGACGGGAGUUAGUCCUGAGAAGAACUCUGGGCCUGCCAUAGCUCUCCAGCUCUUCCUGCUGCACCUGAAGGCCGUUACGAGACAGGAGCUCCUUGGCCAUCAUCAUGAAGGCCUCCUCCACGUUCUGACCAUCCUGCACACAAGCGUAGGAACACGACCUUCAUGAGCGCAAUAGUAACAACAAAAAAGACUGCAGGCCUCCUCAAACUGAACCUCCCGCUCUUCCUCCAAGUCACAUUUGUUACCUUGAAGACGAAAAGAGGGGACAAAUAGCCAGUGAUACACAACAUACACAUUCAUAAACAAAGUGUAGUUUUCUAUUGGAAAAAAAAUAUAAGCCACCUGGAAAACAGCAGUAUUUUUUAUUAUGCACGUGUUGCUAGGCAGAAUUUAAGAGUCCAAAUUUAAAACAUUUAUUCAUUCUUAACAAAUAAUAUUUUAAUGUUUGCACAUUCGCUUGAGGUGAGGCAGAAUUUGUGAAUCCUAAUAAAAAAGUGAUUCAUAAUAAUAAACGUGAUUAUUGGAAAUAAAGAUUAGAUCACUAGAAUUGUCGCUUGUUGCUAGGCAGAAUUAGGUGAAACAAACAAAAAA